This 1347-nucleotide ribosomal RNA is filed under the name uncultured bacterium. RNAcentral describes it as "partial 16S ribosomal RNA". It matches the Rfam family "Bacterial small subunit ribosomal RNA", at positions 28 to 1381 of the family's 1533-position model. The record is from RNAcentral.
GACGAACGCUUGCGGCGUGCUUAACACAUGCAAGUCGAACGGAAAGGCCCUGCUUUUGUGGGGUGCUCGAGUGGCGAACGGGUGAGUAACACGUGAGUAACCUGCCCUUGACUUUGGGAUAACUUCAGGAAACUGGGGCUAAUACCGGAUAGGAGCUCCUGCUGCAUGGUGGGGGUUGGAAAGUUUCGGCGGUUGGGGAUGGACUCGCGGCUUAUCAGCUUGUUGGUGGGGUAGUGGCUUACCAAGGCUUUGACGGGUAGCCGGCCUGAGAGGGUGACCGGCCACAUUGGGACUGAGAUACGGCCCAGACUCCUACGGGAGGCAGCAGUGGGGAAUAUUGCACAAUGGGCGGAAGCCUGAUGCAGCAACGCCGCGUGCGGGAUGACGGCCUUCGGGUUGUAAACCGCUUUCGCCUGUGACGAAGCGUGAGUGACGGUAAUGGGUAAAGAAGCACCGGCUAACUACGUGCCAGCAGCCGCGGUGAUACGUAGGGUGCGAGCGUUGUCCGGAUUUAUUGGGCGUAAAGGGCUCGUAGGUGGUUGAUCGCGUCGGAAGUGUAAUCUUGGGGCUUAACCCCUGAGCGUGCUUUCGAUACGGGUUGACUUGAGGAAGGUAGGGGAGAAUGGAAUUCCUGGUGGAGCGGUGGAAUGCGCAGAUAUCAGGAGGAACACCAGUGGCGAAGGCGGUUCUCUGGGCCUUUCCUGACGCUGAGGAGCGAAAGCGUGGGGAGCGAACAGGCUUAGAUACCCUGGUAGUCCACGCUGUAAACGGUGGGUACUAGGUGUGGGGUCCAUUCCACGGGUUCCGUGCCGUAGCUAACGCUUUAAGUACCCCGCCUGGGGAGUACGGCCGCAAGGCUAAAGCUCAAAGGAAUUGACGGGGCCCCGCACAAGCGGCGGAGCAUGCGGAUUAAUUCGAUGCAACGCGUAGAACCUUACCUGGGUUUGACAUGGAUCGGGAGUGCUCAGAGAUGGGUGUGCCUCUUUUGGGGUCGGUUCACAGGUGGUGCAUGCCUGUCGUCAGCUCGUGUCGUGAGAUGUUGGGUUAAGUCCCGCAACGAGCGCAACCCUUGUUCACUGUUGCCAGCACGUUAUGGUGGGGACUCAGUGGAGACCGCCGGGGUCAACUCGGAGGAAGGUGGGGAUGACGUCAAGUCAUCAUGCCCCUUACGUCCAGGGCUUCACGCAUGCUACAAUGGCUGGUACAGAGAGUGGCGAGCCUGUGAGGGUGAGCGAAUCUCGGAAAGCCGGUCUCAGUUCGGAUUGGGGUCUGCAACUCGACCUCAUGAAGUCGGAGUCGCUAGUAAUCGCAGAUCAGCAACGCUGCGGUGAAUACGUUCCCGGGGCU